CGGGUUGCUUCUCUCGUUACCUUCGGUUUCGUUCCGGAGUUGUGAGGUUUCAUUCGACUACGUCCGCUUGUCUUCUUCAUGGACCCGUUCUUCUUCCUUGCGGGAUCUCAGGCAAGAUGAACAUACCCUCGAAAUCACUUCUAUCUUUGCUUACUAGUUGUUCGCUCUAUUGCUAUGCCGCGCUACCUACCACUUGCUUAUCAAGCCUCCCAAAUUGCCAUGAACCUCUAACCUUUGUCACCCUUCCUAGCAAACCGUUGUUUGGCUAUGUUACCGCUUUUGCUCAGCCCCUCUUAUAGCAUUGUUAGUUGCAGGUGAAGUUGAAGAUUGCUCCUUGUUGGAACAUAAUUAUGUUGGGAUAUCACAAUAUCUCUUAUCUUAAUUAAUGCAUCUAUAUACUUGGUAAAGGGUGGAAGGCUCGGCCUUAUGCCUGGUGUUUUGUUCCACUCUUGCCGCCCCUAGUUUCCGUCAUACCGGUAUUAUGUUCCUUGAUUUUGCAUUCCUUACGCGGUUGGGUGAUUUAUGGGACCCCCUUGACAGUUCGCCUUGAAUAAAACUCCUCCAGCAAGGCCCAACCUUGGUUUUACCAUUCGCCUACCUAAGCCUUUUUCCCUUGGGUUCUGCAGACUCAAGGGACAUCUUUAUUUUAAACCCCCGGGCCAGUGCUCCUCUGAGUGUUGGUCCAACCCUUCAGUCGCCGGUGGCCACCAGGGGCAACUCUGGGCUGGCCUACCGGAAGCUUGGACAAUCCGGUGUGCCCUGAGAACGAGAUAUGUGCAGCUCCUAUCGGGAUUUGUCGGCACAUAGGGGCGGCUUUGCUGGUCUUGUUUUACCAUUGUCGAAAUGUCUUGUAACCGGGAUUCCGAGGCUGAUCGGGUCUUCCUGGGAGAAGGAAUAUCCUUCGUUGACCGUGAGAGCUUAUAAUGGGCUAAGUUGGGACACCCCUGCAGGGUAUUUAUCUUUCGAAAGCCGUGCCCGCGGUUAUGUGGCAGAUGGGAAUUUGUUAAUGUCCGGUUCUAGAGAACUUGACACUCGACUUAAUUAAAAUACAUCAACCGCGUGUGUAGCCGUGAUGGUCUCUUCUCGGCGGAGUCCGGGAAGUGAACACAGUUUCUGGGUUAUGUUUGACGUAAGUUGGAGUUCAGGAUCACUUCUUGAUCAUUGCUAGUUCACGACCGUUCCUUUGCUUCUCUUCUCGCUCUUAUUUGGGUAUGUUAGCCACCAUAUAUGCUUAGUCGCUGCUGCAAUCUCACCACCUUACCCUUUCCUACCCUUAAGCUUAAAUAGUCUUGAUCUCGCGGGUGUGAGAUUGCUGAGUCCUCGUGACUCACAGAUACUUCCAAAACAGUUGCAGGUGCCGACGAUACCAGUGCAGGUGACGCAACCGAGCUCAAGUGGGAGCUCGAUGAAGAUCUUGUUCGUUGUGUUGUUUCUUUUCAUUUUGAUCAGUAGUGGUGCCCAGAUGGGACGAUCAGGGAUCUAGCAGUUGGGUUGUCUUCUUUUCUUUUGGUUCCGUAGUCGGACCUAUGUGUGUACUCUGAAUGAUGUAUGUUUUUUUCAUGUAUUUUGUGAAGUGGCGAUUGUAAGCCAACUCUUUAUCCCAUUCUUGUUCAUUACAUGGGAUUGUGUGAAGAU
RNAcentral lists this long non-coding RNA (1635 nucleotides) under Triticum aestivum (bread wheat). RNAcentral's name for it is "long non-coding RNA (TAES_LNC017691)". The record is from RNAcentral. Lineage: Eukaryota; Viridiplantae; Streptophyta; Magnoliopsida; Poales; Poaceae.